UGGGUGGAUGAGUGGCGAACGGGUGAGUAACACGUGAGUAACCUGCCCCCUUCUUUGGGAUAACGCCCGGAAACGGGUGCUAAUACUGGAUAUUCACUUGCCUUCGCAUGGGGGUUGGUGGAAAGGGUUUUUUCUGGUGGGGGAUGGGCUCGCGGCCUAUCAGCUUGUUGGUGGGGUGAUGGCCUACCAAGGCUUUGACGGGUAGCCGGCCUGAGAGGGUGACCGGUCACAUUGGGACUGAGAUACGGUCCAG
Molecule: ribosomal RNA, 253 nt
Filed under: uncultured bacterium
Lineage: Bacteria
Description: partial 16S ribosomal RNA
Rfam family: Bacterial small subunit ribosomal RNA
Source: RNAcentral